AAAUUGAAGAGUUUGAUCAUGGCUCAGAUUGAACGCUGGCGGCAGGCCUAACACAUGCAAGUCGAACGGUAACAGGAAGCAGCUUGCUGCUUCGCUGACGAGUGGCGGACGGGUGAGUAAUGUCUGGGAAACUGCCUGAUGGAGGGGGAUAACUACUGGAAACGGUGGCUAAUACCGCAUAACGUCGCAAGACCAAAGAGGGGGACCUUCUGGCCUCUUGCCAUCAGAUGUGCCCAGAUGGGAUUAGCUAGUUGGUGAGGUAACGGCUCACCAAGGCGACGA
This 282-nucleotide ribosomal RNA is filed under the name Salmonella enterica subsp. enterica serovar Paratyphi B var. L(+) tartrate +. Its description in RNAcentral is "partial 16S ribosomal RNA". It matches the Rfam family "Bacterial small subunit ribosomal RNA", at positions 1 to 279 of the family's 1533-position model. The record is from RNAcentral. Lineage: Bacteria; Pseudomonadati; Pseudomonadota; Gammaproteobacteria; Enterobacterales; Enterobacteriaceae.